GAUGAACGCUGGCGGCGUGCCUAAUACAUGCAAGUCGAGCGAACGGACGAGAAGCUUGCUUCUCUGAUGUUAGCGGCGGACGGGUGAGUAACACGUGGAUAACCUACCUAUAAGACUGGGAUAACUUCGGGAAACCGGAGCUAAUACCGGAUAAUAUUUUGAACCGCAUGGUUCAAAAGUGAAAGACGGUCUUGCUGUCACUUAUAGAUGGAUCCGCGCUGCAUUAGCUAGUUGGUAAGGUAACGGCUUACCAAGGCAACGAUGCAUAGCCGACCUGAGAGGGUGAUCGGCCACACUGGAACUGAGACACGGUCCAGACUCCUACGGGAGGCAGCAGUAGGGAAUCUUCCGCAGUGGGCGAAAGCCUGACGGAGCAACGCCGCGUGAGUGAUGAGGGUCUUCGGAUCGUAAAACUCUGUUAUUAGGGAAGAACAUAUGUGUAAGUAACUGUGCACAUCUUGACGGUACCUAAUCAGAAAGCCACGGCUAACUACGUGCCAGCAGCCGCGGUAAUACGUAGGUGGCAAGCGUUAUCCGGAAUUAUUGGGCGUAAAGCGCGCGUAGGCGGUUUUUUAAGUCUGAUGUGAAAGCCCACGGCUCAACCGUGGAGGGUCAUUGGAAACUGGAAAACUUGAGUGCAGAAGAGGAAAGUGGAAUUCCAUGUGUAGCGGUGAAAUGCGCAGAGAUAUGGAGGAACACCAGUGGCGAAGGCGACUUUCUGGUCUGUAACUGACGCUGAUGUGCGAAAGCGUGGGGAUCAAACAGGAUUAGAUACCCUGGUAGUCCACGCCGUAAACGAUGAGUGCUAAGUGUUAGGGGGUUUCCGCCCCUUAGUGCUGCAGCUAACGCAUUAAGCACUCCGCCUGGAGAGUACGACCGCAAGGUUGAAACUCAAAGGAAUUGACGGGGACCCGCACAAGCGGUGGAGCAUGUGGUUUAAUUCGAAGCAACGCGAAGAACCUUACCAAAUCUUGACAUCCUUUGACCGCUCUAGAGAUAGAGUUUUCCCCUUCGGGGGACAAAGUGACAGGUGGUGCAUGGUUGUCGUCAGCUCGUGUCGUGAGAUGUUGGGUUAAGUCCCGCAACGAGCGCAACCCUUAAGCUUAGUUGCCAUCACUAAGUUGGGCACUCUAAGUUGACUGCCGGUGACAAACCGGAGGAAGGUGGGGAUGACGUCAAAUCAUCAUGCCCCUUAUGAUUUGGGCUACACACGUGCUACAAUGGACAAUACAAAGGGCAGCGAAACCGUGAGGUCAAGCAAAUCCCAUAAAGUUGUUCUCAGUUCGGAUUGUAGUCUGCAACUCGACUACAUGAAGCUGGAAUCGCUAGUAAUCGUAGAUCAGCAUGCUACGGUGAAUACGUUCCCGGGUCU
Molecule: ribosomal RNA, 1372 nt
Filed under: uncultured bacterium
Lineage: Bacteria
Description: bacterial SSU rRNA
Rfam family: Bacterial small subunit ribosomal RNA
Source: RNAcentral